GCGGAAGUGGUGAAAUUGGUAUACACGCCAGAUUUAGGUUCUGGUGCGAAAGCGUGAGGGUUCGAGUCCCUCUUUCCGCA
Molecule: transfer RNA, 80 nt
Filed under: Spirochaetaceae bacterium
Lineage: Bacteria; Pseudomonadati; Spirochaetota; Spirochaetia; Spirochaetales; Spirochaetaceae
Description: tRNA-Leu
Rfam family: tRNA
About the family: Transfer RNA (tRNA) molecules are approximately 80 nucleotides in length. Their secondary structure includes four short double-helical elements and three loops (D, anti-codon, and T loops). Further hydrogen bonds mediate the characteristic L-shaped molecular structure. tRNAs have two regions of fundamental functional importance: the anti-codon, which is responsible for specific mRNA codon recognition, and the 3' end, to which the tRNAs corresponding amino acid is attached (by aminoacyl-tRNA synthetases). tRNAs cope with the degeneracy of the genetic code in two manners: having more than one tRNA (with a specific anti-codon) for a particular amino acid; and 'wobble' base-pairing, i.e. permitting non-standard base-pairing at the 3rd anti-codon position.
Source: RNAcentral